GGGGGCGCCAUAAUACAUGCAGUCGAGCGAACGGAUAAGGAGCUUGCUCCUUUGAAGUUAGCGGCGGACGGGUGAGUAACACGUGGGUAACCUACCUAUAAGACUGGAAUAACUUCGGGAAACCGGAGCUAAUGCCGGAUAACAUAUAGAACCGCAUGGUUCUAUAGUGAAAGAUGGUUUUGCUAUCACUUAUAGAUGGACCCGCGCCGUAUUAGCUAGUUGGUAAGGUAAUGGCUUACCAAGGCGACGAUACGUAGCCGACCUGAGAGGGUGAUCGGCCACACUGGAACUGAGACACGGUCCAGACUCCUACGGGAGGCAGCAGUAGGGAAUCUUCCGCAAUGGGCGAAAGCCUGACGGAGCAACGCCGCGUGAGUGAUGAAGGUUUUCGGAUCGUAAAACUCUGUUAUUAGGGAAGAACAAAUGCGUAAGUAACUGUGCGCAUCUUGACGGUACCUAAUCAGAAAGCCACGGCUAACUACGUGCCAGCAGCCGCGGUAAUACGUAGGUGGCAAGCGUUAUCCGGAAUUAUUGGGCGUAAAGCGCGCGUAGGCGGUUUCUUAAGUCUGAUGUGAAAGCCCACGGCUCAACCGUGGAGGGUCAUUGGAAACUGGGAAACUUGAGUGCAGAAGAGGAAAGUGGAAUUCCAUGUGUAGCGGUGAAAUGCGCAGAGAUAUGGAGGAACACCAGUGGCGAAGGCGACUUUCUGGUCUGUAACUGACGCUGAUGUGCGAAAGCGUGGGGAUCAAACAGGAUUAGAUACCCUGGUAGUCCACGCCGUAAACGAUGAGUGCUAAGUGUUAGGGGGUUUCCGCCCCUUAGUGCUGCAGCUAACGCAUUAAGCACUCCGCCUGGGGAGUACGACCGCAAGGUUGAAACUCAAAGGAAUUGACGGGGACCCGCACAAGCGGUGGAGCAUGUGGUUUAAUUCGAAGCAACGCGAAGAACCUUACCAAAUCUUGACAUCCUUUGAAAACUCUAGAGAUAGAGCCUUCCCCUUUCGGGGGACAAAGUGACAGGUGGUGCAUGGAUUGUCGUCAGCUCGUGUCGUGAGAUGUUGGGAUAGUCCCGCAACGAGCGCACCGUAAGCUAGCUGCAUCAUUAGGUUGGUCACUCUAGUUGGACUGGCGGUGAACAAACCGGAGGAAAGGGUGGGGAUUG
This 1161-nucleotide ribosomal RNA is filed under the name Staphylococcus succinus. RNAcentral's name for it is "bacterial SSU rRNA". It matches the Rfam family "Bacterial small subunit ribosomal RNA", at positions 38 to 1184 of the family's 1533-position model. The record is from RNAcentral. Lineage: Bacteria; Bacillati; Bacillota; Bacilli; Caryophanales; Staphylococcaceae.